RNAcentral lists this ribosomal RNA (929 nucleotides) under uncultured bacterium. RNAcentral describes it as "bacterial SSU rRNA". It matches the Rfam family "Bacterial small subunit ribosomal RNA", at positions 8 to 956 of the family's 1533-position model. The record is from RNAcentral.
AGAGUUUGAUCCUGGCUCAGGAUGAACGCUGACAGAAUGCUUAACACAUGCAAGUCUUUGGCGAAGUUGUGCUUGCACAGCCUAGCCAAGGCGGACGGGUGAGUAACGCGUAAGGAACUUGCCCUGCAGUCAGGGAUAACAGACGGAAACGACUGAUAAGACCUGGUAAAGUCAGGCGGACUCAUGUCCAGCCUGAUGAAAAGAGAUGCUGCAGGAGAGCCUUGCGUCCUAUUAGCUUGUUGGUGGGGUAACGGCCCACCAAGGCGAUGAUAGGUAGCCGGCCUGAGAGGGUGGACGGCCACAAGGGGACUGAGAUACGGCCCUUACUCCUACGGGAGGCAGCAGUGGGGAAUAUUGGACAAUGGGGGCAACCCUGAUCCAGCAAUUCUGUGUGCACGAUGAAGGUUUUCGGAUUGUAAAGUGCUUUCAGCAGGGAAGAAAAAAUGACGGUACCUGCAGAAGAAGCGACGGCUAAAUACGUGCCAGCAGCCGCGGUAAUACGUAUGUCGCAAGCGUUAUCCGGAAUUAUUGGGCAUAAAGGGCAUCUAGGCGGCCAGAUAAGUCUGGGGUGAAAACUUGCGGCUCAACCGCAAGCCUGCCCUGGAAACUAUGUGGCUAGAGUACUGGAGAGGUGGACGGAACUGCACGAGUAGAGGUGAAAUUCGUAGAUAUGUGCAGGAAUGCCGAUGAUGAAGAUAGUUCACUGGACGGUAACUGACGCUGAAGUGCGAAAGCUAGGGGAGCAAACAGGAUUAGAUACCCUGGUAGUCCCAGCCGUAAACGAUGAUUACUGGGUGUGGGCAUGAAGAGUGUCCGUGCCGAAGCAAAUGCGAUAAGUAAUCCGCCUGGGGAGUACGGCCGCAAGGCUGAAACUCAAAGGAAUUGACGGGGACCCGCACAAGCGGUGGAGCAUGUGGUUUAAUUCGACG